RNAcentral lists this small RNA (399 nucleotides) under Rhaphoxya sp. QM G333342. RNAcentral's name for it is "partial large subunit ribosomal RNA". The record is from RNAcentral. Lineage: Eukaryota; Metazoa; Porifera; Demospongiae; Bubarida; Dictyonellidae.
GCAGCCAGUGCGAGCCUCGUCAGGUUCAGGAGCAGCCGGUGGAGUCGCCCGAUCGGUGGCCUAGAUUCGGCCCCGGCGGGUCGCGGCACCGCGGCGCAUCUGCACUCCUGCGAGGCUCUUGCCAACGGCGGUGGUCGGUGUUCGCGAGCGGGGUCGGGGAGGUAACUCGCCUGCACCUUUUCCCCUUCGGGGGGGGUCGGUGUCCCGGCGAGAACGUAUAGCCCCUCCGCGACGGACAUCGGCGACCGAGGCGACGGUCACUUUCCAUUUGACCUGACGACGUAGGACCCGUUUUCGGGCGGGUCUGGCCUCUCUCCGGGACGUCCGAUUUCUCGACCCAGGACUGCGCGCAGUGCUGGGACGCGUCUCUCUUCGAUCCGGGGAGCCAGGGCGCAACUG